RNAcentral lists this long non-coding RNA (295 nucleotides) under Brassica napus (rape). RNAcentral describes it as "long non-coding RNA (BNAP_LNC011173)". The record is from RNAcentral. Lineage: Eukaryota; Viridiplantae; Streptophyta; Magnoliopsida; Brassicales; Brassicaceae.
UUUUGCAAAAAGCGUAAAACACGCAUUUACAUAAAAACACACUUUUCGGUCAAACCAGUAAAACCACACUUUUUGGCUAAAACGGUAAAAACACUUUCCCGCAAAAAGCGUAAAACCGCACAAAAACCGAAAAACAUACUUUCCCGCCAAAACCGUAAAAACACACUUUGCCUCUAAAAUCGCCAAAAUGCAUUUUCCCGGCAAAAAAACACAAAACACAUGUUUCCGUAAAAACCACAAAAACGUAUUUUCCUGCCAAAACUGGAAAACACAUUUUCCCGCCAAAAACACAAAA